AUUGAACGCUGGCGGCAGGCCUAACACAUGCCAGUCGAACGGUAACAGGGAUCAGCUUGCUGAUUCGCUGACGAGUGGCGGACGGGUGAGUAAUGUCUGGGAAACUGCCUGAUGGAGGGGGAUAACUACUGGAAACGGUAGCUAAUACCGCGUAACGUCGCAAGACCAAAGAGGGGGACCUUCGGGCCUCUUGCCAUCGGAUGUGCCCAGAUGGGAUUAGCUAGUAGGGGGGGUAACGGCUCACCUAGGCGACGAUCCCUAGCUGGUCUGAGAGGAUGACCAGCCACACUGGAACUGAGACACGGUCCAGACUCCUACGGGAGGCAGCAGUGGGGAAUAUUGCACAAUGGGCGCAAGCCUGAUGCAGCCAUGCCGCGUGUAUGAAGAAGGCCUUCGGGUUGUAAAGUACUUUCAGCGGGGAGGAAGGGAGUAAAGUUAAUACCUUUGCUCAUUGACGUUACCCGCAGAAGAAGCACCGGCUAACUCCGUG
This 490-nucleotide ribosomal RNA is filed under the name uncultured bacterium. Its description in RNAcentral is "partial 16S ribosomal RNA". It matches the Rfam family "Bacterial small subunit ribosomal RNA", at positions 30 to 507 of the family's 1533-position model. The record is from RNAcentral.